RNAcentral lists this ribosomal RNA (441 nucleotides) under uncultured bacterium. Its description in RNAcentral is "partial 16S ribosomal RNA". It matches the Rfam family "Bacterial small subunit ribosomal RNA", at positions 338 to 795 of the family's 1533-position model. The record is from RNAcentral.
CCUACGGGAGGCAGCAGUGGGGAAUAUUGCACAAUGGGGGAAACCCUGAUGCAGCGACGCCGCGUGAGUGAAGAAGUAUUUCGGUAUGUAAAGCUCUAUCAGCAGGGAAGAAGAAAGACGGUUACUGACUAAGAAGCCCCGGCUAACUAAGUGCCAGCAGCCGCGGUAAUAAGUAGGGGGCAAGCGUUAUCCGGAUUUACUGGGUGUAAAGGGUGCGCAGGCGGUGCUGCAAGUCUGGAGUGAAACGCAUGGGCUUAACUCAUGCAUGGCUUUUGAAACUGGAGGACUUGAGUGCAGGAGAGGGCGGUGGAACUCCAAGUGUAGCGGUAAAAUGCGUAGAUAUAUGGAGGAACACCAGUGGCGAAGGCGGCCGCCUGGCCUGUUGCUGACGCUGAGGCACGAAAGCGUGGGGAGCAAACAGGAUUAGAUACCCUAGUAGUC